Molecule: long non-coding RNA, 535 nt
Organism: Salvia miltiorrhiza (redroot sage)
Lineage: Eukaryota; Viridiplantae; Streptophyta; Magnoliopsida; Lamiales; Lamiaceae
Exons: 2
Source: RefSeq, a predicted model, not a curated record
AUCAUUUCUCAAACAAACACAAAGAUUUUUUUUUUUUUAAAAGAACCAUUUCUUUUUCUUGCCAAGCCCUCUUCCAUUUCUCCAACGUUUCAUCCAUGUCAUUCAGAAUCAGAUGGAUGUUGGGAUAUCAAGCUGUGAGGAAAUGUUGAUGGCAAUGGAAUUCAUUGUUGUGAAAUCUUGGUUCUAGUGUUUUUUUUUAUCCAUUUAAAAUCACUUGAAUUUAAGAAUUUAGGAAAGCAUCAUGAUUGUAUUUGAUAAAGUUGGUCAGCAAAAUGUAUCUUCUGGUGUGGGAGUUGGAGAUGAGAUUCUUGGAGCUUAAGAGGAAGAAGGGGUAUCGACGUUAUGUGAUUUUUAAGAUUGAUGAGAAAAAAUGAGGUGGUUGUUGACAGCCCUGCUGAAAACCAGAAUGAUUUUGUUGAAUCUUUGCCACAAAAUGAUUGUCGAUAUGCAGUUUAUGAUUUUGAUUUUGUGAUUACUGACAAGUGUCGAAUAAACAAGAUUUUCUUCAUUACCUAGUUAGUUUUUAUGCUCAUUC